CUUUUUUUCAAAGGUUUUAAAGUGUUGAUGGGCGUUUUGUUUCUGUUGACAGCGCUGCAGUGAAGGAGGAGCCCAGCGACUCGUCCUCGAAGAGGAAACGGGAGGAGAGCGACGGCGAGGUGGCGACGGCGCCCAACGCGUCGUCUGCAGAGGAGCUGAAGAAGAAGAAGAA
Austrofundulus limnaeus is the source of this 172-nucleotide long non-coding RNA. RefSeq lists it as uncharacterized. The record is from RefSeq and is a predicted model, not a curated record. NCBI's taxonomy places the organism in Eukaryota, Metazoa, Chordata, Actinopteri, Cyprinodontiformes, Rivulidae. The transcript is spliced from 2 exons.